CCGAGUUUACAACUCCCAAACCCCUGUGAACAUACCAUGUUUUGCUUCGGCGGAGAGCCCGGCGUGGCGAAGCCUCGCCGGUAUCAGGCGCCCGCCAGGAGGACCCAAACAAACUCUUGAUUUGAUCUAAGUAUUUACUUCUGAGUAAUAAGUAAAUAAAUCA
RNAcentral lists this unclassified non-coding RNA (163 nucleotides) under soil metagenome. RNAcentral describes it as "partial internal transcribed spacer 1". The record is from RNAcentral.